GACGAACGCUGGCGGCGUGCCUAAUACAUGCAAGUCGAGCGAAUGACGAGAAGCUUGCUUCUCUGAUUUAGCGGCGGACGGGUGAGUAACACGUGGGCAACCUGCCCUACAGAUCGGGAUAACUCAGGGAAACCUGGGCUAAUACCGGAUAAUCCUUCGAACCACAUGUUUUGAAGUUGAAAGGCGCUUCGGCGUCACUGUAGGAUGGGCCCGCGGUGCAUUAGCUAGUUGGUGGGGUAACGGCCUACCAAGGCAACGAUGCAUAGCCGACCGGAGAGGGUGAUCGGCCACAUUGGGACGGAGACACGGCCCAAACUCCGACGGGAGGCAGCAGUAGGGAAUCUUCCACAAUGGACGAAGGUCUGAUGGAACAACGCCGCGUGAGUGAUGAAGGUUUUCGGAUCGUAAAACUCUGUUGUAAGGGAAGAACAAGUACGUUAGGAAAUGAACGUACCUUGACGGUACCUUAUUAGAAAGCCACGGCUAACUACGUGCCAGCCGCCGCGGUAA
This 510-nucleotide ribosomal RNA is filed under the name uncultured bacterium. RNAcentral describes it as "partial 16S ribosomal RNA". It matches the Rfam family "Bacterial small subunit ribosomal RNA", at positions 28 to 523 of the family's 1533-position model. The record is from RNAcentral.